This 1309-nucleotide ribosomal RNA is filed under the name Faecalibacterium prausnitzii. RNAcentral describes it as "partial 23S ribosomal RNA". It matches the Rfam family "Bacterial large subunit ribosomal RNA", at positions 1597 to 2925 of the family's 2925-position model. Lineage: Bacteria; Bacillati; Bacillota; Clostridia; Eubacteriales; Oscillospiraceae. The record is from RNAcentral.
GAUGGAAGAUGGCGAGAAAAGCUGUGUGUAUUUCUGAGGUGCCCGUACCGCAAACCGACACAGGUAGGUAGGAAGAAGAUUCUAAGGCCAACGGGAGAAGGGUUGUUAAGGAACUCGGCAAAUUGACCCCGUAACUUCGGGAGAAGGGGUGCUCCAGAGAUGGAGCCGCAGAGAAUCGGCCCAAGCAACUGUUUACCAAAAACACAGGUUUGUGCUAAAUCGAAAGAUGACGUAUACGAGCUGACGCCUGCCCGGUGCUGGAAGGUUAAGAGGAGAUGUGCAAGCAUUGAAUCGAAGCCCCAGUGAACGGCGGCCGUAACUAUAACGGUCCUAAGGUAGCGAAAUUCCUUGUCAGGUAAGUUCUGACCCGCAUGAAAGGCGUAAUGAUUUGGGCACUGUCUCAACAGCCCGCCCGGCGAAAUUGUAGUACCGGUGAAGAUGCCGGUUACCCGCGACAAGACGGAAAGACCCCAUGGAGCUUUACUGUAGCCUAAUAUUGGGUUUCGAUGUUGCAUGCACAGGAUAGAUGGGACACAGGGAAACAAUCGCUUUGGCGGUUGCGGAGUGGCCGUUGGGAUACCAUCCUUGCGAUAUUGGAAUUCUAACCUGCGGCUCUGAAUCGAGUCGGGGGACAUUGUUAGGUGGGCAGUUUGACUGGGGCGGUCGCCUCCUAAAAAGUAACGGAGGCGUUCAAAGGUUCGCUCAGCUUGAACGGAAAUCAAGCAAAAGAGUGCAAACGCAGAAGCGAGCCUAACUGCGAGACUGACGGGUCGAGCAGUAACGAAAGUUGGAGUUAGUGAUCCGGUGGUAUGUGAGUGGAAAUGCCAUCGCUCAACGGAUAAAAGUUACCCUGGGGAUAACAGGCUGAUCUCCCCCAAGAGUCCACAUCGACGGGGAGGUUUGGCACCUCGAUGUCGGCUCAUCGCAUCCUGGGGCUGUAUUCGGUCCCAAGGGUUUGGCUGUUCGCCAAUUAAAGCGGUACGCGAGCUGGGUUCAGAACGUCGUGAGACAGUUCGGUCCCUAUCUGUCGUGGGCGCAGGAUAUUUGAUGGGAGCUGUCCCUAGUACGAGAGGACCGGGACGGACGUACCUCUGGCGCACCAGUUGUUCCGCCAGGAGCAUAGCUGGGCAACUACGUACGGAUCGGAUAAACGCUGAAAGCAUCUAAGCGUGAAGCCGACCCAAAGAUAAGAUAUCCCACUGAUUUGAUCAGGUAAGACCCCUUGAAGACUACAAGGUCGAUAGGCACGAUGUGUAAGUGGAGUGAUCCAUUCAGCAAGCGUGUACUAAUAGGUCGAGGGCUUGACCAC